GGCCUUAUGGUCUAGUAGCAUGAUUCUUCCUUUGGGGAUUUGUAAUCUCUUAAUUGGAAGAGGUCCUGGGUUCAAUUCCCAGUGAGGCCC
This is a non-coding RNA of Psilocybe cubensis, 90 nucleotides long. The record is from the annotation of a RefSeq genome assembly. Lineage: Eukaryota; Fungi; Basidiomycota; Agaricomycetes; Agaricales; Agrocybaceae.